AGAGUUUGAUCCUGGCUCAGAUUGAACGCUGGCGGCAGGCCUAACACAUGCAAGUCGAACGGUAACAGGAAGCAGCUUGCUGCUUUGCUGACGAGUGGCGGACGGGCGAGUAAUGUCUGGGAAACUGCCCGAUGGAGGGGGAUAACUACUGGAAACGGUAGCUAAUACCGCAUAACGUCGCAAGACCAAAGAGGGGGACCUUCGGGCCUCUUACCAUCGGAUGUGCCCAGAUGGGAUUAGCUAGUUGGUGAGGUAACGGCUCACCAAGGCGACGAUCCCUAGCUGGUCUGAGAGGAUGACCAGCCACACUGGAACUGAGACACGGUCCAGACUCCUACGGGAGGCAGCAGUGGGGAAUAUUGCACAAUGGGCGCAAGCCUGAUGCAGCCAUGCCGCGUGUAUGAAGAAGGCCUUCGGGUUGUAAAGUACUUUCAGCGGGGAGGAAGGGGAUGUGGUUAAUAACCGCGUUCAUUGACGUUACCCGCAGAAGAAGCACCGGCUAACUCCGUGCCAGCAGCCGCGGUAAUA
RNAcentral lists this ribosomal RNA (528 nucleotides) under uncultured bacterium. Its description in RNAcentral is "bacterial SSU rRNA". It matches the Rfam family "Bacterial small subunit ribosomal RNA", at positions 8 to 525 of the family's 1533-position model. The record is from RNAcentral.